CAGUAGCCGCGGUAAUACGUAGGUGGCAAGCGUUGCCCGGAAUUAUUGGGCGUAAAGGCUCGCAGGCGGUUUCUUAAGUCUGAUGUGAAAGCCCCCGGCUCAACCGGGGAGGGUCAUUGGAAACUGGGAAACUUGAGUGCAGAAGAGGAGAGUGGAAUUCCACGUGUAGCGGUGAAAUGCGUAGAGAUGUGGAGGAACACCAGUGGCGAAGGCGACUCUCUGGUCUGUGACUGACGCUGAGGAGCGAAAGCGUGGGGAGCGAACAGGAUUAGAUACCCGGGUAGUCCCUGUCUCUUAUACC
RNAcentral lists this ribosomal RNA (301 nucleotides) under uncultured bacterium. RNAcentral describes it as "partial 16S ribosomal RNA". It matches the Rfam family "Bacterial small subunit ribosomal RNA", at positions 509 to 808 of the family's 1533-position model. The record is from RNAcentral.